GCGUUAGUGCGGCACGGAACACGUGGAAUGUGUCCCACACCUAGCGCCNAACGUUUACGGUGUGGACUACCAGGGUAUCUAAUCCUGUUCGCUCCCCACACUUUCGCUCCUCAGCGUCAGGUAAUUCCCAGAGAACCGCCUUCGCCACCGGUGUUCCUCCUGAUAUCUGCGCAUUUCACCGCUACACCAGGAAUUCCAUU
Molecule: ribosomal RNA, 200 nt
Filed under: uncultured bacterium
Lineage: Bacteria
Description: partial 16S ribosomal RNA
Source: RNAcentral